This 468-nucleotide ribosomal RNA is filed under the name uncultured bacterium. RNAcentral's name for it is "partial 16S ribosomal RNA". It matches the Rfam family "Bacterial small subunit ribosomal RNA", at positions 28 to 507 of the family's 1533-position model. The record is from RNAcentral.
GACGAACGCUGGCGGCGUGCUUAACACAUGCAAGUCGAACGGAAAGGCCCUGCUUUUGUGGGGUGCUCGAGUGGCGAACGGGUGAGUAACACGUGAGUAACCUGCCCUUGACUUUGGGAUAACUUCAGGAAACUGGGGCUAAUACCGGAUAGGAGCUCCUGCUGCAUGGUGGGGGUUGGAAAGUUUCGGCGGUUGGGGAUGGACUCGCGGCUUAUCAGCUUGUUGGUGGGGUAGUGGCUUACCAAGGCUUUGACGGGUAGCCGGCCUGAGAGGGUGACCGGCCACAUUGGGACUGAGAUACGGCCCAGACUCCUACGGGAGGCAGCAGUGGGGAAUAUUGCACAAUGGGCGGAAGCCUGAUGCAGAAACGCCGCGUGCGGGAUGACGGCCUUCGGGUUGUAAACCGCUUUCGCCUGUGACGAAGCGUGCGUGACGGUAAUGGGUAAAAAAGCACCGGCUAACUACGUG